GAAAAUCAGCUCUUUUAGUAUUUCUCCAUUUGGUUUUCUGAAGGAGAAAGCCUCC
Molecule: small nuclear RNA, 55 nt
Organism: Oncorhynchus kisutch (coho salmon)
Lineage: Eukaryota; Metazoa; Chordata; Actinopteri; Salmoniformes; Salmonidae
Gene: U7
Rfam family: U7 small nuclear RNA
About the family: Animal histone pre-mRNAs are spliced by a different mechanism than nuclear pre-mRNAs and self-splicing introns.
Source: Ensembl